This 468-nucleotide ribosomal RNA is filed under the name uncultured bacterium. Its description in RNAcentral is "partial 16S ribosomal RNA". It matches the Rfam family "Bacterial small subunit ribosomal RNA", at positions 28 to 507 of the family's 1533-position model. The record is from RNAcentral.
GACGAACGCUGGCGGCGUGCUUAACACAUGCAAGUCGAACGGAAAGGCCCUGCUUUUGUGGGGUGCUCGAGUGGCGAACGGGUGAGUAACACGUGAGUAACCUGCCCUUGACUUUGGGAUAACUUCAGGAAACUGGGUCUAAUACCGGAUAGGAGCUCCUGCUGCAUGGUGGGGGUUGGAUAGUUUCGGCGGUUGGGGAUGGACUCGCGGCUUAUCAGCUUGUUGGUGGGGUAGUGGCUUACCAAGGCUUUGACGGGUAGCCGGCCUGAGAGGGUGACCGGCCACAUUGGGACUGAGAUACGGCCCAGACUCCUACGGGAGGCAGCAGUGGGGAAUAUUGCACAAUGGGCGGAAGCCUGAUGCAGCAACGCCGCGUGCGGGAUGACGGCCUUCGGGUUGUAAACCGCUUUCGCCUGUGACGAAGCGUGAGUGACGGUAAUGGGUAAAGAAGCACCGGCUAACUACGUG